RNAcentral lists this ribosomal RNA (510 nucleotides) under uncultured bacterium. RNAcentral describes it as "partial 16S ribosomal RNA". It matches the Rfam family "Bacterial small subunit ribosomal RNA", at positions 28 to 507 of the family's 1533-position model. The record is from RNAcentral.
GACGAACGCUGGCGGCGUGCUUAACACAUGCAAGUCGAACGAAGAGCGAUGGAGGCUUGCUUCUUGCAAUCUUAGUGGCGCACGUGUGAGUCACGCGUAAUCAACCUGUCCUUCAGUGGGGGACCACAGUGGGACACGACUGCUUAUACCACAUACGAUCUAAUCUCAGCAUCCAGGAGAGAUGGAAGGUGUCCUCUAUUCAUAUGCUUUCACUGAAGCUGGAGAUUGCGUCUGAUUAGCUAGCUGGAGGGGUAACGGCCCACGCAGGCGAAGCUCAGUAGACGGUCUGAGAGGGGGAACGGCCACACUGGGAAUGAGACACGGCCCAGACGCCUACAGGAGGCAGCAGUGGGGAAACUUUCGCGAUGGAGGAAAGACUGACGGGGAAACGCCGCGUGAGAGAUGACGGCCUUCGCGUUGCAAAGAUCUGUGUAUCGGGAGGAAAGGACUUCUUGCGAACAGGUAGAAGGAUUGACGGUACCGGAAUAGAAAGCCACGGCUAACUACGUG